This 493-nucleotide ribosomal RNA is filed under the name Limosilactobacillus reuteri. Its description in RNAcentral is "partial 23S ribosomal RNA". It matches the Rfam family "Bacterial large subunit ribosomal RNA", at positions 1487 to 1987 of the family's 2925-position model. Lineage: Bacteria; Bacillati; Bacillota; Bacilli; Lactobacillales; Lactobacillaceae. The record is from RNAcentral.
CAAUCCGGACGGAUGGAAAUGUCCGGCCAAGCAGCAAGUUAGGAACAGAGUGAAAUACUUUGUUUCGGGUUAACAAGCUGUGAUGGGGAGUGAAAUUAAGUAACGAAGUUGCCAACGUCACACUGCCGAGAAAAGCUUCUAGCAAGUAAUCAACUGCCCGUACCGCAAACCGACACUGGUAGUCGAGGAGAGUAUCCUAAGGUGAGCGAGUGAACUCUCGUUAAGGAACUCGGCAAAAUGACCCCGUAACUUCGGGAGAAGGGGUGCUGACCGGAAGGUCAGCCGCAGUGAAGAGGCCCAGACGACUGUUUAUUAAAAACACAGGUUUCUGCAAAAUCGUAAGAUGAAGUAUAGGGGCUGACGCCUGCCCGGUGCUGGAAGGUUAAAAGGAAGAGUUAGCUUCGGCGAAGCUCUGAAUUGAAGCCCCAGUAAACGGCGGCCGUAACUAUAACGGUCCUAAGGUAGCGAAAUUCCUUGUCGGGUAAGUUCCGAC